GACGAACGCUGGCGGCGUGCUUAACACAUGCAAGUCGAACGGAAAGGCCCUGCUUGCAGGGUACUCGAGUGGCGAACGGGUGAGUAACACGUGGGUGAUCUGCCCUGCACUUCGGGAUAAGCCUGGGAAACUGGGUCUAAUACCGGAUAGGAGCCAUUUUUAGUGUGAUGGUUGGAAAGUUUUUUCGGUGUAGGAUGAGCUCGCGGCCUAUCAGCUUGUUGGUGGGGUAAUGGCCUACCAAGGCGGCGACGGGUAGCCGGCCUGAGAGGGUGGACGGCCACAGUGGGACGAGAACCGGCCCCGGACCCCAGGGGGGGGAGGGAGGGGGGAAUGUGGCCAAAGGGGCCAAGGCCGGAUGCGGCACGCCCGGGGGGGGGUGGCGGGCUUGGGGGUUGAAACCCCUUUCCCCUAGGGCAAAAGUUUUUUGAGGCGGUACCUAGAAAAGAGCCCCCGCCUAGCUCCGUC
This 465-nucleotide ribosomal RNA is filed under the name uncultured bacterium. RNAcentral describes it as "partial 16S ribosomal RNA". It matches the Rfam family "Bacterial small subunit ribosomal RNA", at positions 28 to 507 of the family's 1533-position model. The record is from RNAcentral.